Long non-coding RNA from Paramisgurnus dabryanus, 406 nucleotides. RefSeq lists it as uncharacterized. Lineage: Eukaryota; Metazoa; Chordata; Actinopteri; Cypriniformes; Cobitidae. The record is from RefSeq and is a predicted model, not a curated record.
UCGACCUGAAGACGACAAAACUUUUAGUAAUAUUUCUGAAUAUAUCUGAUCUCGAAUAUAAACCAAACAUGCGAUCUCUAGCGCUUUUGCUCUUUGGGAUUCAUCUCGCCUUUGCGGAUAACUUUACAUAUCCCUUCAGUAUAACCUGUAAAGAUAAGUCUGGAAGUAAGAUAAGGUAACUCAAUUAAUCAUGAACACGAAGAAGAUAACGAAGAAGAUCUUAUGAGACACUGGGUGUUCUUUGUGCUACUUGGGUGUGUGUUAGGCAGUACCACAGAUGCUGACUCAGUGUCAGAUCAACGUGCCUGCUGUAUUUCCCUCUCAUUCUUUCUCGUGCUUGAGUAAAAAUGUUAACUCACAACAGAGAUGACUUUCUUUGUAGAAUCUGUUUCUAGCCUUGAGAACG